Molecule: long non-coding RNA, 405 nt
Filed under: Amborella trichopoda
Lineage: Eukaryota; Viridiplantae; Streptophyta; Magnoliopsida; Amborellales; Amborellaceae
Description: long non-coding RNA (ATRI_LNC002790)
Source: RNAcentral
GUAUAAGCUGACGGUCCUGGAUCGAGUCCGUGUCGAUUGCCACCCCUACUUUUCUCAAAAACUUAUAUGACAAAAGCACUAUCCUUAUAAAUCAGCCUAACAGCAACCUUUCUUCUCUCUCUACACCCCCGCCCUUCUCUCUCUCUCUCUCUCUCUCUAACAGACACCCAUUUGACAAAAGUGACUUCUCUGUACCCCUGAAGCAUCCUUUUAAGUACAGCACCCAAACCCUCUCUCUCUCAAACAACCAUUGACGAAAAACUACUCUCUGUCUCAAAACAUGAAACAUCCAACAAACAAUUCCUCUUUCUCGGGUUAUCUCUAAACCCAUCUCGCUCUUUCUCCAAUUGAACAAAACCAUGUCUCUCUCGCAACCCCAUCAAACAUAGCACCUCUCUCUCACUG